UCCCUGGUGGCUCAGAUGGUAAAAGCAUCUGCCUGCAAUGUGGGAGACCCGGGUUCAAUCCCUGGGUUGGGAA
This 73-nucleotide transfer RNA is filed under the name Bos taurus (domestic cattle). It matches the Rfam family "tRNA". Rfam says of the family: Transfer RNA (tRNA) molecules are approximately 80 nucleotides in length. RNAcentral also lists the same sequence under 5 other names. Lineage: Eukaryota; Metazoa; Chordata; Mammalia; Artiodactyla; Bovidae. The record is from Rfam by way of RNAcentral.